This 2932-nucleotide ribosomal RNA is filed under the name Escherichia coli O157:H7. RNAcentral's name for it is "23S ribosomal RNA". It matches the Rfam family "Bacterial large subunit ribosomal RNA". Lineage: Bacteria; Pseudomonadati; Pseudomonadota; Gammaproteobacteria; Enterobacterales; Enterobacteriaceae. The record is from RNAcentral.
GGGUUGUGAGGUUAAGCGACUAAGCGUACACGGUGGAUGCCCUGGCAGUCAGAGGCGAUGAAGGACGUGCUAAUCUGCGAUAAGCGUCGGUAAGGUGAUAUGAACCGUUAUAACCGGCGAUUUCCGAAUGGGGAAACCCAGUGUGUUUCGUCACACUAUCAUUAACUGAAUCCAUAGGUUAAUGAGGCGAACCGGGGGAACUGAAACAUCUAAGUACCCCGAGGAAAAGAAAUCAACCGAGAUUCCCCCAGUAGCGGCGAGCGAACGGGGAGGAGCCCAGAGCCUGAAUCAGUGUGUGUGUUAGUGGAAGCGUCUGGAAAGGCGCGCGAUACAGGGUGACAGCCCCGUACACAAAAAUGCACAUGCUGUGAGCUCGAUGAGUAGGGCGGGACACGUGGUAUCCUGUCUGAAUAUGGGGGGACCAUCCUCCAAGGCUAAAUACUCCUGACUGACCGAUAGUGAACCAGUACCGUGAGGGAAAGGCGAAAAGAACCCCGGCGAGGGGAGUGAAAAAGAACCUGAAACCGUGUACGUACAAGCAGUGGGAGCACAGAGCAAUCUGUGUGACUGCGUACCUUUUGUAUAAUGGGUCAGCGACUUAUAUUCUGUAGCAAGGUUAACCGAAUAGGGGAGCCGAAGGGAAACCGAGUCUUAACUGGGCGUUAAGUUGCAGGGUAUAGACCCGAAACCCGGUGAUCUAGCCAUGGGCAGGUUGAAGGUUGGGUAACACUAACUGGAGGACCGAACCGACUAAUGUUGAAAAAUUAGCGGAUGACUUGUGGCUGGGGGUGAAAGGCCAAUCAAACCGGGAGAUAGCUGGUUCUCCCCGAAAGCUAUUUAGGUAGCGCCUCGUGAAUUCAUCUCCGGGGGUAGAGCACUGUUUCGGCAAGGGGGUCAUCCCGACUUACCAACCCGAUGCAAACUGCGAAUACCGGAGAAUGUUAUCACGGGAGACACACGGCGGGUGCUAACGUCCGUCGUGAAGAGGGAAACAACCCAGACCGCCAGCUAAGGUCCCAAAGUCAUGGUUAAGUGGGAAACGAUGUGGGAAGGCCCAGACAGCCAGGAUGUUGGCUUAGAAGCAGCCAUCAUUUAAAGAAAGCGUAAUAGCUCACUGGUCGAGUCGGCCUGCGCGGAAGAUGUAACGGGGCUAAACCAUGCACCGAAGCUGCGGCAGCGACACUGUGUGUUGUUGGGUAGGGGAGCGUUCUGUAAGCCUGUGAAGGUGUGCUGUGAGGCAUGCUGGAGGUAUCAGAAGUGCGAAUGCUGACAUAAGUAACGAUAAAGCGGGUGAAAAGCCCGCUCGCCGGAAGACCAAGGGUUCCUGUCCAACGUUAAUCGGGGCAGGGUGAGUCGACCCCUAAGGCGAGGCCGAAAGGCGUAGUCGAUGGGAAACAGGUUAAUAUUCCUGUACUUGGUGUUACUGCGAAGGGGGGACGGAGAAGGCUAUGUUGGCCGGGCGACGGUUGUCCCGGUUUAAGCGUGUAGGCUGGUUUUCCAGGCAAAUCCGGAAAAUCAAGGCUGAGGCGUGAUGACGAGGCACUACGGUGCUGAAGCAACAAAUGCCCUGCUUCCAGGAAAAGCCUCUAAGCAUCAGGUAACAUCAAAUCGUACCCCAAACCGACACAGGUGGUCAGGUAGAGAAUACCAAGGCGCUUGAGAGAACUCGGGUGAAGGAACUAGGCAAAAUGGUGCCGUAACUUCGGGAGAAGGCACGCUGAUAUGUAGGUGAAGUCCCUCGCGGAUGGAGCUGAAAUCAGUCGAAGAUACCAGCUGGCUGCAACUGUUUAUUAAAAACACAGCACUGUGCAAACACGAAAGUGGACGUAUACGGUGUGACGCCUGCCCGGUGCCGGAAGGUUAAUUGAUGGGGUCAGCGCAAGCGAAGCUCUUGAUCGAAGCCCCGGUAAACGGCGGCCGUAACUAUAACGGUCCUAAGGUAGCGAAAUUCCUUGUCGGGUAAGUUCCGACCUGCACGAAUGGCGUAAUGAUGGCCAGGCUGUCUCCACCCGAGACUCAGUGAAAUUGAACUCGCUGUGAAGAUGCAGUGUACCCGCGGCAAGACGGAAAGACCCCGUGAACCUUUACUAUAGCUUGACACUGAACAUUGAGCCUUGAUGUGUAGGAUAGGUGGGAGGCUUUGAAGUGUGGACGCCAGUCUGCAUGGAGCCGACCUUGAAAUACCACCCUUUAAUGUUUGAUGUUCUAACGUGGACCCGUGAUCCGGGUUGCGGACAGUGUCUGGUGGGUAGUUUGACUGGGGCGGUCUCCUCCUAAAGAGUAACGGAGGAGCACGAAGGUUGGCUAAUCCUGGUCGGACAUCAGGAGGUUAGUGCAAUGGCAUAAGCCAGCUUGACUGCGAGCGUGACGGCGCGAGCAGGUGCGAAAGCAGGUCAUAGUGAUCCGGUGGUUCUGAAUGGAAGGGCCAUCGCUCAACGGAUAAAAGGUACUCCGGGGAUAACAGGCUGAUACCGCCCAAGAGUUCAUAUCGACGGCGGUGUUUGGCACCUCGAUGUCGGCUCAUCACAUCCUGGGGCUGAAGUAGGUCCCAAGGGUAUGGCUGUUCGCCAUUUAAAGUGGUACGCGAGCUGGGUUUAGAACGUCGUGAGACAGUUCGGUCCCUAUCUGCCGUGGGCGCUGGAGAACUGAGGGGGGCUGCUCCUAGUACGAGAGGACCGGAGUGGACGCAUCACUGGUGUUCGGGUUGUCAUGCCAAUGGCACUGCCCGGUAGCUAAAUGCGGAAGAGAUAAGUGCUGAAAGCAUCUAAGCACGAAACUUGCCCCGAGAUGAGUUCUCCCUGACCCUUUAAGGGUCCUGAAGGAACGUUGAAGACGACGACGUUGAUAGGCCGGGUGUGUAAGCGCAGCGAUGCGUUGAGCUAACCGGUACUAAUGAACCGUGAGGCUUAACCUUACAACGCCGAAGGUGUUU